This 281-nucleotide long non-coding RNA is filed under the name Hordeum vulgare. Its description in RNAcentral is "long non-coding RNA (HVUL_LNC005429)". The record is from RNAcentral. Lineage: Eukaryota; Viridiplantae; Streptophyta; Magnoliopsida; Poales; Poaceae.
UGUAAUCAUAAAUAAAUGUCCAUUGCAGCGGGGCUACUUUCAAGAAAAUUUAACUUGGUUAUUUCAUACUGAUACAGGUUGUCAAGACCUUUUAUGCUUCCUACACCGUUAUUAUACUAAAAUGUAUAUAUAUCAUCAACUUGAAAUUCUCUUCCACGACCUUUCCGCAUGCAUAGAGUACCUUUCCACUGCUGCCUAUCUGGCAUUUUUUAAAUUUUUUGGAUUGGAGUUGACGAAUUUAUAUAUUUUUUAAACGUGCGACCAAGUGGUUAAGAGCUUCC